Molecule: long non-coding RNA, 900 nt
Organism: Lytechinus variegatus (green sea urchin)
Lineage: Eukaryota; Metazoa; Echinodermata; Echinoidea; Temnopleuroida; Toxopneustidae
Exons: 4
Source: RefSeq, a predicted model, not a curated record
AUUGACAGGUUGCGAUAAACCCUUCUACAAACCCACCUGUAAUAAGGUGGGCAUCCGCACAUCGAUAGGUUCGAGGACACACAUUGUCUUAAAGAUUACCCCCACAUCUUUUACCUAGACCAGAGACUACUCAGAGGAGACAUUCUUAUCACACUUCAUACUCCUGUAACAACUAUUUUCAACUCGUUCGAUGAUUUAAUCUUCCGGCUCCCUGCGUGAAGCCGUCUACAUCAUCCCCGUCAACGACACAUGUAAACAUAAUAAUCAACAAAGUGAAUAGUUACUUACAGACAUAUCUAUACAAAUAGCAUGUGGCAUAAAGUUCAACCAAGUACAGAUCUCUUCUGCAGGAGCGAACGAAUCUGUUGCCUUAGGGCAUACACAGAACGUUUAUCCGGUUAUUGGCGACUCUUUUCCCUUACGAGGGGAGCGACUAAUUAACCGUGAAAUUUAUUUAUUUUCAUAUUUCAGCCUGAAGUGUUUGCAGGGCGGGGUCAUAAGUAUCACACACUUGAAUUUUCUAAUUUUCUUUUCCCAUUUGGAAGUUAUUGAAAAAUAUAGAAGAUAUAUUAGCUCUCUAUAUUCAUAACAUACAGAUGCGUGAUUAUUUUAUUUUUAGAGAUUUAAAUCGGAAAUAUUCUAGAGUUUAUUUGGGUCGAUCAAUCAAUAAGCGAUGCAUGAUGUGAUCUGAAUAUUAUUAGGCCCAUUCAUAACUGAAUAUAAAUAUUAUUGUUUACAAAUAGCUUUGAUAAACGCGAAUCUGUAUUAUCCAGGCUAUCAAUCAUAGUGUCGUUCUUAGAUUUGCGUAUUGUUUCAUUAAUCAUGUGAACUUAGAUAAUGAAAGAGCACUGUAAUGUCUACAUCGGUCUUUUUCUCCUUCUCCUUAUUCUUCUGUUUAUU